ACGAGGCUUCCCCCUGUGUGUGAGGAGUGGGACUGACGCCUGAUAUAGGUCACCACUUCUAAGAAAGAAAUGGUCAGAAUAUAACGAUUCUACUCGCUGUUUGAGCAUCAGAUGGCGAAAGGGGUCGUCAGUGAGAGAGAAUUGAAAUGGAAUUAAAGCUUCAUAGUCCGGCAGGAGCCGAAGCUGUCAGUUACACGUGGCCACUGUCGAAUUCGGAUGGAAAAGAAGGAGCUAAUGAAAUCAUCGAAACCAUAAGAUGGGUGUCGGAAGAUUUCCCGGAGCUGGAGACGGCAUUGGAUAACAACAUCCUACAGGACUAUGAUGUGAGGAGCUUUGAGAGCAUGAAACAACUGUGUGACAAGUAUAACAGGACCAUUGACAGCAUCCUCCAGCUGUGGAAAGGAACAUCCCGCCCCCAGAAAAUCAAGGAACGUCCAUCUACUGGCCUGCUGAAGCACAUCCUCCAACAGUGCUAUGACCAUGCAGUAAAAGAUCCGGAGAGGCUUAACCAGUAUGAGCCCUUCUCUCCCGAGGUGUAUGGAGAAACAUCAUUUGAUCUGGUGGACCAGAUGAUUAAAUCCAUCAACUUCUCAGAAACCGACUACUUUAUAGACCUUGGCAGUGGAGUCGGACAAGUUGUCCUGCAGGUGGCCGCAGCAACAUCCUGUAAAAUGUGCUAUGGUAUUGAAAAAGCAGAGUAUCCAGCUAAGUAUGCUGAGGAUAUGGAGAAGCAGUUCAAGCGAUGGAUGAAAUGGUACGGAAAGAAAUUCAGCAACUACCAACUGGACAAAGGUGACUUCCUGUGUGACGAAAUGGUCGAAAAAAUAAACAAUGCCACUGUGAUAUUUGUCAACAACUUUGCAUUUGGACCUCAGGUAGACCAUCAAUUAAAACUACGCUUUGCCAAUAUGAAAGAAGGUGCCAAAAUCGUAUCUUCCAAGGCUUUCUGUCCACUGAACUUCCGCAUCACUGACAGAAAUCUCAGUGAUAUUGGUACUAUCAUGCACGUUGCGGAACUGUCACCGCUAAGUGGUGCCGUCUCCUGGACGGGGAAAGCUUUCACCUACUUUGUGCACACAAUAGAUAGGACUCUGUUGGAGAAAUACUUCCUACGAAUGAAAAAUCCGAAAUUGAAAGAUGAUGAAGAUGUGCGUAGAGAUCGUCGAGGGAGACCAAUCCAUCUACGAGAGAAACAUACAUGUUGUUCUGGUCAUGGUGAUUCCAAGCCUCAUGAAGAGCUGAAGAAUGGUGCUUUGAAGAAGAAAAUUCGAGCCCUAGAGGUUAACAAGAAUGAAAUGCCAGCUCUCAAUGUUAUCAAGGACCACUCCUACCAGGCCGCACGCAACCUAGACUUUGACAGUGCCAGUAACGCCAGCACUGCGACAAGUAUGAGUGGCACAGCCGAGGAAAUAGCUCAAGUAAUGGGUGGCCCCACAACGCGGCGACAGUGGUCCGAGUGCCUCAGUAAACCAGCACCAGAAGUGGCCUCCCCUGAACAUCCUCCUACCUUCAGGGAGGAGAGUGACGAGAAUGCUGUAGUAGUUGAUAUCCCUAAGAAGAUGACCAGGACCCGAGCAGCAAAGACGGCGUCAAAGCGACUCAGGAACGGACAGUUAAGGAAAGAACCACACACCGCUGUUGGUGAAGUGAGCAGUACCCCUCCAGUGACAGGGAGAAAGAAAUCCAAUCUGGGAAGCCGUGCAAGAGCCAACAAAAACAAGGAAAAGGAGAAAGUUCUGGGGCUGGACAGUCUCAAUCUGCUGCACACGCACACACUAAUGUCCACAGCUGCAUCACCUGAGAGCAAUGAUAAGUGGAAUGAUCGAAGCAUGGUCUCCAUGACGAACGCAUUCUUCAAGCCGAGUACUCAGGCCCAGACUGUGUCCUCACUGGAGACAGAACCAGCACUCCAACGUCUGCUUGAUCUGUUCAGACACCAGUACAACAAGUUCCUGGCCUACAUGCAGACACCAGACUACAAGUCCAAUCUGUUACUCCAGAUAGAUCAGGAAAGGGAAAAGCAGUCCUGUUUAAAAUCGAGAGUGGCAUACCUUGAAAAGCAGAUUUAUGGCCUACAGAAGGAUAGUGUUGGACAGCUGAAGGCAAGGAUGAGUGAAAUAAACUUUGUUUCCCAGCUUGGUAUAGAUACCGAUUGUCCCGCAGACUUCCUCACCAAGGCCAAGUCAAUAGUGCAGGAACACAAGGAAUUGGAGGGUCAGAUGGGGACUUUAAAAGGCCAGGUGGCUUCUCUGGAGGCAGAUCGGCGCAAACUGGUGGAAGUUCAGCAACAAGUCCUGCUUGAGAAGACUGGUGGAAUAAACGGCAAAAGGAAUGGAUUCCACAAACCUACAGUCCAAGAGAAUGUUUUAAAAGAGAUUAAUAAUUCCUAUUCCCAAAAGAAGAACCUGAUUACCAAAGUACAGGAGCUGGAGGUAAAUUUAAACGACUUACAACAGCAUAAAUUGGCCAGGCUGGACGAUGAUAUUAAAGGGGAUGACAGCCCAUCUCAGGAUUCGGGCAUCAGCCUAACACCAACCGUUCCACCUCCACAGUCACCCGAUGAGGCAGCUACAACCGACAUGUCAGGGAAACCUUUAGGGUUAUAUUUUCAAUCAACAACUGACAAAUCUCAGGACCAAACCAACGUUUCAGCCGACACUAAGCAAAUAAAGAUUGUUACUGGUGCUAUUAGCGGCUUCAGACAGACGUCGCCAUGUAACAACUUGCUCGAUCACAAACCUUCAGCUAAAGACUCAGGUACACUAGGAGUUAGUGCUAGUUCUCAUGAAAACCAUUCCAGUAUAAAAUCAUCACCAUAUAUGUCUUCAUCAUUGUCAUCAUCUUCAUCCCCACCACCACCACGUAAACCCGGUGACGGAUAUACUCCUGGAGCUCUAUCUAUACGAAUCCUUCUAGAGGCUAGUGGGGAGCAGGUGCGUCAGCGGAAUAGGGGCGAGAUAGCUUCCAGACUGGCUGGUUACAAGUCAGGUGUGGUCAAAGACCUGCAUCAGGACUCAACUGGGAAGUUAGAGUAUGAACGAAUCAAAAAGGAGGCAAAGCCUGCUCAUUUGAUCGACCAGGUAGUUCACAUGGCCCUGUCAUCGCAACCAACAGACAGUAACCAGGGUAAUGUGUUAGUGACACACAACAAGAAGGUCAAACUGUCAAAUGGGGUCAAGUCCUCUGCUAAAGGUGUAGCUCUGGAGUCGAACCGACCCACCCUCCCAGUCAGUAUACCACUGGACCAGCUUCAGAAGGAGCAGUUACGACAGAAAAUUCUCAAUCGGACAGGACCAAGCAAGCAUGAGGCGGGUGAUGUCACAAGUCAGGUGUCAAAGCAGUCAAGUAAGUCUGAUCAUGAUGCUGGGUUUUACUCCCCUAUCAGUCGGCCCAGUAGUCGUGGCAGCACCACAGAGUCAGCCGACGAGCCUGGAUGUGAUGUCACUGCAUCACACUCGUACAGUCCUGCUACAGCGUCCAACAGUCCCCGUGGGCCUGGGUACAGCUCAUCUAGACACAGAACGGACUCUAAAGCAAAGACACCUGCUCGUGUGCCAGUAAAUAAUCACUUUGUGGAGAAUAUGUCGACUCAGACCAAGUCAAACAAUUUGCUGCAUGGUAGAGGUCAAAGGGUGCAUACUGAUCAACAGAAGUUUAACUUAGCAGAGGCUUUACUUCAAAUGUCGGAGGUUAGGAGUAACAAACCAGUGUCUCCACGGCAGGCAUUACCCAGUGUACCAACGAAGUGUGGGGACAGCUCCAAAUCACCCAAAAUGCGGUACACUCUAGAGAGCUACCAAGCUGCAGACAGAAAACGACUGAAAAGGAAGAAAACAGAAAUUCUUGAAAAUGAUAAUAAAAAAAUGGCCUUGUCCUCUAAUGCUGUGAGCUAUACCCCGAGUCAUGGGGUGUUGGACAGCAUGCUAGGUCACACCUCUGGGAUCAGUUCAUUCUCGUCUCCUGAUUCAGGAAUGUCCACACCACAUGUACAGAGUCCAUUGUUCCCGACGGCCCGACCAAAACUCAAAAGUCACUAUAAUCUUCAAAACAGCAGUGCCAAAGAUUCACCAAGCAAGAACUGGCAAGCUCAGAUCAGCAGUGGUUUUGACGCCCUGGUUGCUCUAGCUUCAUCAGAAUUGGAUAAAAAUCGUGAAAUUCGUAGGAAAAGUUUAGAAGGACAAAGUCCUAGUCCACGCAAAUCACAAGUGAUACCAACAAAGCAACAUGUCUCUCUAAGGGACUCAUUGCGUGGAAGGGACAAUGAUAAAAGACGGGGUCCUAAAACUCCGCCUGGUUCUCCUCCUAGAAGUAAACGGGGCCCAAGAACACCCCCAGGAUCUCCACAUUCACAGAAAAAAGGGGUCAAGGGUCGGAGAAAUAAUAGUUACAGUUCAAGUCGUAGCCGAAGUUGUAGUCUUUCCAGAACCUCUAGUCACACGCAGAGCAGCAGGAGUAGCUCCCGCAGUAGUUGUUACUCCAGCAGUAGGAGCAGAAGUCGAUCUCGGAGCUCGUCAUCCAGUCGGAGUUCUGGGAGUGGGCGCCACAGGAACACUAAAAUUAGUUUGAAGAAGGCUAGUGAAACAGUUAACAAACCUGUGGUGACUCACCCUGUGAUCAAUUCCAACAUAAAACCAGUGUCCCAGCAAUACUCAGGAAACAAUAGUACUAGCGUGCCAAAACAGCCGGCGCCCCUGGUUAGCAACGCUGUGACAGGUACAGUGAUGAACAAUACUAAUUAUUGUGUUUUAAAUAAUGGGACCUCCUUUGGGGGAGGUAUGAUGUUGAUGACAAACAACCAGCUUCACACUGGCACCACCACCACUGGUAUUUCACAGCGACCCAUGACCAAUCAGAUGCCAAUUAUUCCUUCAUCCAUACCCAGUAAUUUGGUUGUGUUGUCUUUUACUCCGCAAAACAACAGUAUGAACAAUCAGAUCCUAGGGGGUCCUACAGCCGCCCUACAGACCAGUACCAUAACCCAGCAGCCUGCUCCCCAGGUCCCAAAUCUCUCGGAACAGUUAAAACAAUGUGCAAAACAGCCCCCACCACCCCCACCAAACAAUGACAAUGUUCAGAAAGGAUUAACCCUACAGCCGACAGCACAAAAUAUUCACUACACAAACCCUGGGCCAGUGUUCGUUUCCACAGCUCCAAACUUCAGUCUGCCUGAUCUAAGCAGACCACCACCCAACAUGGCCCUGAAGCCACCGAACUCAAGUCUUCCAGGUAGCGGGGGAGGGACUGUCGUGGCUACUCCAACAGGCCAGCUACAGAUGUGUGCGGGCGGGGCAGGGCAGCCUGCCACGCCUGUAUUCACCAUCAACCACCGGCCCCCUUCCAUCACCCCCACCCCAAUCAGGCCACGAUCUGAUCUACCUCCAAGGCCAAUGACCACAUUCAAUGAACGGCCUUUCACACCAGGCAAUGUAGGCAAUAUACCUGAUUUUACUCGGCCUCCAGUUAACUUACAGCCAAGAUUGCCCUCGCCUGCUAAAGGCCAACAUCAACAGCAGGGACCCAGGCCACAACAGAACCAACCUGCUAAUUUCCGUGGGCCCAUACAAAUCCGUCCAGCCAUAUCCAACCCAGCAGGUCCUAGGCUAGAUGCCUCUGCUACAAGGUUCCAGGGCUAUGCUACACUACAGCCUACCCAGCAAACCAGCAACAUCAGACUGGGAAUGUUUGCUAACCAGAGUGGACCCAGACAGCAGUUCAAUGGACCAGGACAACAAAAUUGGCAAAUGUGAUGACAGAAAUGGACUACACGUGGCCUUGACCCUGUUUGUAAUGACUUCACUAGGCAAUAAGUAAACAUCAGUGUAGCGGAUAUGGCAAACUUUAAGGGAGAUAAUACGCACAACUUUUUACACCUACUUAGAAUUUAUUUACUGAUUUCUAGGACAUAUGAAAUGAAUUUAGGUGUACCUUCAAAUUUGUAUGAGUAUUAGAAAGAUGAAAUGCUUGGUAACUAAAAUACAAAAUGAGGUCAUUUUGUUUUGGAAAUUAAGUCGAAACACACUGGUACUCAAACAUAUUCAUUUUUCUCUUGUUUGCAUUAAUUUGAAUGUUAUGAAAUGUAUAUAUUUUAACAUCUGUAACAUUUUGGUUUUGAUGGACAUUGGUCAUAUAGCACAGUAAAACGCUGUUGUAAAAGGGGAUAAUUUGACCGGUGGUAUGAUGUCGAGGUGUAUGUAAGGAGAAUUCAUUAUUUUCACACGGCCAGAGUAGUCAUUUUUACAACAGCUGAUUAGAGUUAUAAUAAAUGUCAUCAAAGCUAUGUAGCUCAUUUUACUGAUCUGCUCCCCAGCAUCGUGAACCAGAAUUUGAAUGUCAUUUAAUAGUUCAAUGCAGUUACAAAAUAUGAUUUUAUAUGAAAUGUAUACCCAUAUAUUGUAAAUAUGUAAAACUUGACUAUGCUGGUAUUAGAACCGAUUUUCAGGAGGAAUGUUUACCUGGUAAUUCAUUUCCAUUCGAAAUUAGAGAUUUUUUUUUAACCCAGCAUAGUUCAAUAUUGUUGAAAAGCAUGUAUUUCACCAAGGGUUAACAUACUCUGUGUGCUACUAAUAUAACAGACCAGUGAUAUAGAUGUUACCAUCACUGCUGUACAAGGGUAAAACAGUCUUAUAAAAUGUCAUAUCAUAUAUGUAUAGUGCUUUGCUGUAUAAUUGCAAAGUUGACCAUAAAUCGUUGAAACACCAUAAAUCGGUGAAACAAAAUGCAUGUCUGAAUUACCUCGGUGCCAGUAUUUAGGGAGAACAAUGUAUCGGUGGCUGAGAAUUAGGAAGUAUCCAGUUAAGCAGAUGAAUGUCUGAAUUAGUGCUAGUAUCCAAGGGAAUAACAUGCGUAUAGCUCAUAGAUGGCUGAAAAUGAGAUAGUACAGUUGAAGCUGCAAAAUUGAGUAUUUUAACUCAUUCACCCCUGAAAUUUCAUCAUGCACUAUUUCAACCUUUAAACUGGAAGAGUUCAAAUGUGUCUUCAGAGGUGAAUGAGUUAAAAAAAUUAAUGGAACAAUUCAAUGUCAGAAUUAUGUUCAUGUUAAUAUCCAAAGGAUUGCUCAAAACUAGUGUCAGCAAAGUAGAACAGAUGAAAGGUUUCAGCGACUGAAUUGUGUUAGUGCUAGUAUCCAAGGAACAAAAUAUAGAUUGCUCAAAGUUAGGCCAGUAUCAGCAAAGCUGAAUAAUUGAACAUUUAACAGUGAAACAGAUAAAUGUCUGAAGUAUGCAUGUUAUUAUUAGUAGAAAGUUAUCCUGUAAAAGUUAAUCCUUGAUAAUAAGCCCUAGCCUACUGGAAGUUGAAAGUGUAGUACAAUGUACAUACAUACAAGAUUCAAAACUGUCACAGUGCAGUCAGUUUUACAGCUCACAAAGCUGAAAUUCUUGUUGAAGAUUUUACAUAAACGUUAUAAGGUAUAUGAUAUAUGUCUGUGGGAUUUAAGAACCGUCUUUAUCAGACACAUCGCAUAUCGAUACUCUUGUUUGAUAAGGAAAGUUGGAAUUUUGAUUGGAAAAGUUUCUUGAUGAACAGUUUGUAAAGUUCAGCAAACAAGACUACAUAUAGCCAAGCCCAGGAUUUUAGAGUUUUGUACUGAUUAUUAAGCAUUAAUUGAAAUCCUAAGGAAUGACAUGGGUUUCUCGUCCUUUUGUUGGGUGCCAAAUCUGACAACUAUUCUGCCAUACAAUUAAUUUAUAGCAGCACCCAUGCAAUACCAAGUUUUGAGCUUAAAAUGAUGCAUAUAUGUAUUUUGAGAUACUAUUUCCCAUUUACAUGGAUGAAACUAACCUCACUGAUUUUUUGUUUUGUAUUUUGAUGAUUUUUCUUAACAUUUAUACUGGAUUUAUUCACCUUUUCCCCUCUUUUAUAUAUUUAUGUAACAUUGUUUUAAUAAUUAUGAAAGUUAGAGUAAAUGUUUUAUUUAUUACUGUACAUCAUGUGUGAAUGACAUUUUGUAAUUUUGAUGAACAGGUAUUAGAUUCCACUAGCUGACUACUGCACAAACAACGCUGUACAAGUAAACUUGGUUAAUACCAGCACUUGACUUACAGGAUAUGGUCUCUGAUUUUCCAACAUGAUUUUAUGGUCCCAAAGAUUGAUUUCUCAGUCUUUUAUCGCUGACAAACUGUCAUAUCCAAUCAAAUGAUCCAAGACCCCUGUGAUGUUGGCAGGUUACACUGUAUUAUUCCAAAUCGUACUUUAUCAUGCAGAAAAUUGUUUAUGCUGGUCAGGUUUUGGAAAUAUGAGACUUCUGCAUUUUGUCAGCUUUUGAAGUGUAAUGCUGUUUCUCAAACAAACAUAUCUAACCACAGUAAAUGAACUGGCCUGUAGAAUUUGUUAUGAUAUGUUUUGGAGGAUCAGACCCAAGUCAUGCCUCUUCAUUAACACUGUUGUCACUUGUAAUGUCAUUGGUUAAGAAUUUCAUAUUCAACUGAUAUUUUCACACAAAUUGUAUACGAAGAAAGCAGUACAGUCCUAUUAAUUAAUUUCUGUAUUGAAUAAAAUUUGCUCUUCAUACAGUCCUAUUCAUUUCUGUUUUGAAUCAACUUUGUACUAUUUGCACAACAUUUUUUAAUCAAAAUGUCUAUAUCACAACAGAAUACUACAGUGAAAGUAUCAAAAAUGAACGGUGGGUUGUCCAGGGUGUUGGCUUUUUACUGGUAUGGGUACAAUGUAUUAUGAUUUUAAAAUAACUUGAUGUUGAAUUAUAAGAGGGUAUGUGUAACAUUAGCAGGAUUUUCAUCAUGUAUUGGAUGUUUGUUCUGGGGCAGAUAAAAUUUCUUGCUAUAUAAUUAGUGCCGAGUUCCCUCUGAAUAUCUAUUUAACCCUCUCACCCCUAAGUAACUUUAGUGGACUCUACCAUGCAUUUAUUGGGAUUAGGCCAUUAUGGUCUACAGUGGUGAAAGGGUUAACUUGGCUAUCUCUUUGAUGGGAUGGAUAGGGAGAUGCUUGUCUUAAAAAGGAUCCAACAGUUAAUGUCAAAAUUGAUAUUUAAUGAAAUUAGAAUUACAACUGAAGGAUGUGAGACGGGUGAAGUGAGAUAACUGGUGGUCCACAUACAGGUGGCAGUAAAAUUCAUGGUUAUAGGAAUAAGACAGAACAUAACUAUUCUAUCUAUAUCCAUGUUUCUGGUCCCUGUGAGUCGAUGUGAAGCUGAGAAAAUGCUUGGCCAGCAAAGGGAGAGAACUGUUGUGCCACUGUAUGCGACAGUGUUGUUUAUUGAACGAUGUGAAUACUGUGUAGGUAUGUAUAGUGCAUGUUGGCAUUCAUAAAUCUUGAUCAAGUGAUUAUGUUAUGGUGCACAGUUAUUUCAUAUAGUUAUUUAUCUGUUUUCUUCUGUUGUCAUUAGCCUGUGUACAUAAGCAUUAAGUUAAAACCAACAUUGAUUAAUACUGUCUUGUAAAGUUUUUAUGAUCUCGUCGUUUGAUAUUUAGAUAGAUAUAUAUUAUAUACAGAUUAAAUGAUGUGAGGAGAGUGUUAUUUGUAUGUUUUAGGUUUCCCUUGUUGGUCACUAAGCACUCAAUCUGACAUUGUCAAAACUGUGAAACCCAGCAUUCUUGUGGUGAGAACUGCAGACUUAAAUUCAACACACUUUUAAUAUUGAAAUAAUAGAGAUUGGAGUAUUUAACAUACUCUACUCCCAAAGCAAAAGAUCUAGCCACAAAAUUGACGUUCAUGAAACAUUGACUUUGCCAGAAUGAUAAAAGGAGCAGGGUGGCCAGCAGAGAUAGUAUACCUGAUGCUAUUGUCACAUUAUUGCAUGUCUCUGUGGGAGUUUGUUCAUUUGAUGAGACCUCUGAGAAUCUGUUGGUUGGUUUUUAGAUUGAUUGAACUGUCAAAAGAUGACUUGUUCGACACACUGCAUGAAGUUAAUUGUUUUUGUAUGCUGUUAUUUGUGAAGGUGUGUACGAAAACACUUGUAAUCAUAAUACAUUAUGUUAACUUCUUUAGCUGUUUUUAAGAUUUUAAAUUAUUUUGUUUCAGUUGAAUUUAUUUUCUCUAAAUACAAAUUUAAAUGAACAGUUGACUAACACUUUUCAACAAUUUUGUCUUUUUGAGAUGUUUUGAUAUCUGGUCUUCUUUCUGUGUACAUAUUGUAUAAUACAAGUGGUGUUUUUUUAUGUAUGAAGCGAUAAAUGAAGAAUCUGAAAGUCGGAUGUAAAGUCUUGUAGAAAUGAGAAGUCCAAAAUUUGUCUGAAUUUGUAGAAAAAUAUUUAUCCUGUAGAAAUUGAAUAUGUGUAGAUUACAAAUGGGACACUAGUUGGUUGGAACUGUUAUAUUGUGUUUCGUACUAGACAGACAAUACCAUAUUUGGACAUAGCAUGUUGAUAUGCUAUUGUCACGGCAAUGGAUAAUGUAGGAAUUAUAUCCUCUUUUUUGCUAUUGUUGGAUUUUAUUUGUGAUGUGUGUAGCUGGUUUUAUAAUCCAAUUUUCCUGGGAUGGAAUGAUAAAUAUUGCAAUGUCAUUUCUGGUUCAAAUUUUUGAGAUAUCGGAUAAAGCAAUGGCCUUAUAUUUUCUUUGAUCAGUGGCUGGAUACAACAUUCGUUAUCAGUCAGAUUUUCUACCAUAAUUAUUGUUUAGAUAUUUUUGUAAUAUUUUUCACUAAUAAAUUCAAUUAAAAAACAACCAUCAGUAAUUCACUAUCACUUUAGGACUUUAUUAACAUCAAUUUUCUAACAUUGUAAAUUUUAUAUUUACAAUUUUGUAUCAAUAAUAGUGCCAGUAGAUCACAAAACCACCAUUCCAUCAUACUUUUGUAAAUCAAUUACACUUUCGCCAUACUUAUUUUCUUAGUUAUUCAUCCACUGACAUAUUUGCAAGGAUUUGAUUAUCUAAAAGGAACAACUACUGAUAAGUUCCAUGGUUGAUUGUGUGUGAAUUAAUAUUAUCAAGAUAUUUGAAUGUGUGACCCGACACCUUUUGUAAAUUUAUAUGAAAAUAAAUAUAGAGGAAAUGCAAAUGAUUUACAGCAGUCUCAGGGUCCUGAAAAAUUGUAUCAAUAGUGGAACAAUAUUCUAUCAUCCGUGUGUGAGGGCCCUGUGACGAAAAUCAAGGUAAUUUAUUUAUAUCUCCAUAUUCAUCAUACAGUGGUUCAUCCGGUCAUCAUACGUGGGUGUUAUCAUCGGUUCACACAUUUUUAUCUGGAUAACAAACUUUAUUUUUGUAUCUGUAUUUAUAGGUAUCAAGUGUAAUAACAAAUGUCAAUAAGCUAAAACAGAGAAUUUAAUGCAAGUUUCUGAAUAAGAAUGCAAGUUUGCUAUUGUGAAAUUUCAUUAAUAUUGUAUUUGAUUGAUCAAUGUUUGGUGUCUCCUCCGUCAUGAUGAAUGAAUCUGUUUAAUCUAAAAUGCUUAUACUCCACAGGUCUUUCUGUGUUUGCUCUAUUUGCAUUUUGCUUAAAUCUGAAUUUAAAAUGUAGAACUGAUUGGGUGACAAGUAUUCCUGAGGCACAAGAUUUAAGCUGCCUCCUUGUGAGUGUUCUGAACACAGGAAUGUGAAAAGCUGCAUGGCAAUAAAUUGAACAGAUGCAAACAAAUACAUUUUAAGAAAAGCACAGAAAAAAUAUGAAGAUUUACUUGUACGUAGUACAUUAUUUUUCUGUUCACCCCCUUUCUAAUGAAUGAUUUUUUUUUUAAGUGUUUAUACAGACACGAUAAGGAUAUACCUAAGUAGCUGAGGGUGUAACCAAAACGCAAAGAUUACUUAAGUCAAAGGUCAUAAUGUCACUCGGAUCAAGUUUUGCUUAACUUGUUUAGUUUAAAAAUAUAUGGUCAUAGAUAUAUAUUACUGCUCCACUUUCAACCAGAUUGACUUCAAUUAAUUCUAAAGAUAAAUCACUAAUAUUUAUGAAUAUACCAAUCCCCAUAGAAUCUUUUUUUUGGAAAACAAAUCAAAAUGUCAGUGUUGGAUAGAUGGAGAAUACAGUCUAGAGAAAUAGAAUCUAAAUACUGGGAACUGCCAUCAUGGUUACAGAGGAAAAGUUUUAACAGAUUUAUAAUUCAAGGAAAUGCAAAAACUAAGCACUAUUUAGAUUGGCUUCAAUACGAAUGUCUUCUCUAGGUGUUGAGUCAGACCAAUUCUGCAUUUAUUGACUCGUUAGGUUUUGAGGCAGACCAACUCUGGUGUUGAGCCAGACUUGUGGGUAUACCGACUCAUUAGGUUUUGAGGCAGACCAACUCUGGUGUUGAGCCAGACUUGUAGGUUUAUUUACUCGUUACGAGACUGUUUUUACCCACUAGUGACAUGUCAGACCGACGGGUGUCACAUGAGGCUGUCUCAUUAGUAUGUUUAUCCACAGGUUUGGUUUCACUCGCUGGAUUGGGUACUGCAUAAAUGUUUCUUUAGAUUUAAUUUCUCAUCUGUGAUAUUUUUUUUCUUGUUUAUUUUUUGGUUGUAGUUGCCAGUUUUUUAAUUAAAUUCUUUACUACUAUUGAAUCAGUCCACAAGUAAGGUGUAUGUUGUCGGGCUAGAGUGCAAGUACCUGUAUCAUUGAGAAAGGGUACACAUACAUCUGAGUUGGAUAUCAAUGUAAAAGUAUCAUUUUUGUUAAUUACAGUGCGCUUAAAACCACAACUUCUUGUUUGUUCUUUUUUUUCUUGAUCUAGAAUUUGGAGACUUGACAACAAAUAAUAUGUUUGCAUGAUAAAGACAAGUUCAAUAACCACAGUUAUCCAAUCAUAAUUUAUGGAGUUAUGGCCUUUUAUUCAAUUACCAAAAAUAUACGCUAGAUAUCUGGAGUAAUUUUUAAUGAAUUUACUUCAAACCUCAAAGAAAUGCCAAUCACCAUGAAAGCUUGGACAAGUAUGAUAACCACCAUUAAGGAGCUAUGGCCCUUUAUUUUAUUGCCAAAAUAUUGUCUGCUCUAUAUUUAGAGUAAUUAUCAACUGAUUGGCCUCAAACUUCCAAGGAAGGUUGUUACCAUGAAAGCUGAGUCAAGUUGAAUACCCACCAUUAUCUUAACAAUUGAGAGUUAUGGUGUCCACUUGAUAUCUAGAAUAAAUUUCAACAAAUUAACUUCAAAUGUCAUGGGAAGGUCAAUUACCACGAUAGCUUGAUACUCAACAAUAGUCAACCCUAACUGAAAGAGUUAUGACACAUUAUUCAAUUGCCGAAACAGUGUAUGCUUGAUAUCUUGAGUAAUAUUCAACAGAUAAACUUCAAACAAAAGCUUGAUAACCAUAUAACUAUGAAAGCUUGGACAAAGUUUGAUACCAACCAUUAUCAAUCUGUAAUUUAUGGAGUUGUGGCCCCUUAUCAGAAACAGUCCACUCUGUAGCCUCCAAGUUCAUAGGAUUACCAUUAAAGCGGGGACAAAUUUGAUAACACUAUUUUCCAAUCAUAAUUUAUUGAGUUAUGGCCCUUUAUAUGAUAUGCAUUCCCUCGUCUUAAGCUAGUCAAGUACAGUAUGUUUUCUCCAUUCACUACAUCACAGGAACAGUUCUCAACUUUAAUUAUCAAUACAGUACAAAUGUAGUUCCUUAUAUUUUCAAACAAUGUACAUCGGAAGGAUUUAAAGUUUGGCAUGGGAUGGACAAACAUUGCUCUGCCUUGUACUCGUGUUAAACAAAUGGAUCCUUCUGGAUAACCAAGACGCCUAAAGUUGUGAUGACGUACAACCCACAACUUGUUGACUGAGUACAACAAUUGUUAAAAUUACUUUGAUUAGAAUUCAAGGGUUCUUGAGUCGUGGUAUUUUUAG
This 13687-nucleotide unclassified non-coding RNA is filed under the name Mizuhopecten yessoensis (Yesso scallop). RNAcentral's name for it is "histone-lysine N-methyltransferase, H3 lysine-79 specific-like, transcript variant X6". Lineage: Eukaryota; Metazoa; Mollusca; Bivalvia; Pectinida; Pectinidae. The record is from RNAcentral.